This 200-nucleotide unclassified non-coding RNA is filed under the name soil metagenome. RNAcentral describes it as "partial contains internal transcribed spacer 2 and large subunit ribosomal RNA". The record is from RNAcentral.
UAUGCCUGUUCGAGCGUCAUUACAACCCUCAAGCAUUGCUUGGUAUUAGAUGCAAUUAGCAAAUUCAUCCUAAAAUAAGUGGCGGUAGUACUUAGUUUCCAGUGUAGUAAACUUUCGCUGUGGAUACUAUUGUAUAGUUGCCAAUAACCCUCAUUUCAAAGGUUGACCUCGGAUCAGGUAGGGAUACCCGCUGAACUUAA